GAUGAACGCUGGCGGCGUGCCUAAUACAUGCAAGUCGAGCGAACAGACGAGGAGCUUGCUUCUCUGACGUUAGCGGCGGACGGGUGAGUAACACGUGGAUAACCUACCUAUAAGACUGGGAUAACUUCGGGAAACCGGAGCUAAUACCGGAUAAUAUUUUGAACCGCAUGGUUCAAUAGUUAAAGACGUUUUUUCUGUCACUUAUAGAUGGAUCCGCGCUGCAUUAGCUAGUUGGUAAGGUAACGGCUUACCAAGGCAACGAUGCGUAGCCGACCUGAGAGGGUGAUCGGCCACACGGGAACUGAGACACGGUCCAGACGCCUACGGGAGGCAGCAGUAGGGAAUAUUCCGCAAUGGGCGAAAGCAUGACGGAGCAACGCCGCGUGAGUGAUGAAGGUCUUCGGAUCGUAAAACUCUGUUAUUAGGGAAGAACAAAUGUGUAAGUAACUAUGCACGUCUUGACGGUACCUAAUCAGAAAGCCACGGCUAACUACGUG
RNAcentral lists this ribosomal RNA (497 nucleotides) under uncultured bacterium. RNAcentral describes it as "partial 16S ribosomal RNA". It matches the Rfam family "Bacterial small subunit ribosomal RNA", at positions 28 to 507 of the family's 1533-position model. The record is from RNAcentral.